This 305-nucleotide ribosomal RNA is filed under the name uncultured bacterium. RNAcentral describes it as "bacterial SSU rRNA". It matches the Rfam family "Bacterial small subunit ribosomal RNA", at positions 337 to 639 of the family's 1533-position model. The record is from RNAcentral.
UCCUACGGGAGGCAGCAGUGAGGAAUAUUGGUCAAUGGGCGAGAGCCUGAGCCAGCCAAGUCGCGUGAGGGAUGACUGCCCUAUGGGUUGUAAACCUCUUUUGUAUGGGGGGAAUAAGCUUUACGAGUAGAGUGAUGACAGUACCAUACGAAUAAGCAUCGGCUAACUCCGUGCCAGCAGCCGCGGUAAUACGGAGGAUCCAAGCGUUAUCCGGAUUUAUUGGGUUUAAAGGGUGCGUAGGCGGAUUGAUAAGUUAGAGGUGAAAUGUCCGGGCUCAACUCGGGAACUGCCUCUAAUACUGUUGA